GAGUUUGAUCUUGGCUCAGAUUGAACGCUGGCGGCAUGCCUUACACAUGCAAGUCGAACGGCAGCAUGAUCUAGCUUGCUAGAUUGAUGGCGAGUGGCGAACGGGUGAGUAAUACAUCGGAACGUGCCCUGUAGUGGGGGAUAACUAGUCGAAAGAUUAGCUAAUACCGCAUACGACCUGAGGGUGAAAGUGGGGGACCGCAAGGCCUCAUGCUAUAGGAGCGGCCGAUGUCUGAUUAGCUAGUUGGUGGGGUAAAGGCCCACCAAGGCGACGAUCAGUAGCUGGUCUGAGAGGACGAUCAGCCACACUGGGACUGAGACACGGCCCAGACUCCUACGGGAGGCAGCAGUGGGGAAUUUUGGACAAUGGGGGCAACCCUGAUCCAGCAAUGCCGCGUGUGUGAAGAAGGCCUCGG
Molecule: ribosomal RNA, 415 nt
Filed under: uncultured microorganism
Description: bacterial SSU rRNA
Rfam family: Bacterial small subunit ribosomal RNA
Source: RNAcentral